AUUGAUAGCCGGGAUGGCCAUGAAAGUGCUUCAGAAGGACAUGGAGGAGCUGAAGUUAUCAAUGCAAGUGAUGUCUUCAAAUGUGGAAACCAUAAUGAAGCAACAGGCCAUUAUUACAGAGCUGAUGGGAGAGGUGAAGCAGCUCAAACAAUUAAACAUUGAACAAAAUAAGAAAAUUGUCAGCCUGGAAAAUAGAUUAGACAAUUAGGAGCAGUACUCAAGAAUGAGCGAUGUCAUCAUCACAGGUUUAAGGAUCAAACCACGGAGCUACCAGCAGGCUGUGAAAGGCCUUGCUUCAGAGGAUAAUCCUGAACAUGAGGAGACAACAGAGGAGCAGAUGACACAAACCUGCUUUGCAGUGGGGAGGACCUGGAUCAACUAUUGGAUACUGUGGGAAUUGAAAUGGAAAAAUUACAGAGUUGGUUUGACACAAAUAAACUAACACUAAAUUUAAGUAAAACAAAGUAUAUUAUAUUUGGAAACCGUCCGACCAACACAGACAAAAUACUUACAAUAAAUAAUAUAGAAAUAGAAAGAGUAAAUGAAGUAAAAUUUCUUGGAGUGCUUAUAGAUAAUAAAUUAAGUUGGAAACCACAUAUAAUGUAUAUCAAAUCAAAAAUUUCAAAAUCACUAGCAGUAUUAUAUAAAGUAAAAGACCUUAUAAAUCAGUCAUCAUUAUAUUCCUUGUACUGCUCCUUCAUACUCCCAUACAUUAUGUACUGUGUGGAGGUGUGGGGCAAUACAUACAAAACAAACACAGAUCCAAUCUUCAUUCU
Long non-coding RNA from Syngnathus acus (greater pipefish), 776 nucleotides. RefSeq lists it as uncharacterized. The transcript is spliced from 2 exons. The record is from RefSeq and is a predicted model, not a curated record. NCBI's taxonomy places the organism in Eukaryota, Metazoa, Chordata, Actinopteri, Syngnathiformes, Syngnathidae.